Non-coding RNA from Triticum urartu, 1046 nucleotides. The record is from RefSeq and is a predicted model, not a curated record. Lineage: Eukaryota; Viridiplantae; Streptophyta; Magnoliopsida; Poales; Poaceae.
GGGAUGGAUACAACCGCCAAGAUGCAGAGUGGUUGUCGACGGCGGUGGUUUGCUGCCAAGCUGCAGGUAAAAACAGCAGCAUGUUUACAGGUGCAUGUAUCAGUUGUAGGCUACUAGAAGAUGUGUGUGACGUAGAUCACUAAUGAUGGUGCACAGAUGACUUGAUUAAAUUUAGCAAAAGAAGUUGUCAUUGCAAAUCUCUUGAUAGACAUGCUAUUUGCUAAUGGUCGGCGUGCUUCAGUGGUAGUUAGUGCAAUAGCAAGGUCGUGAGCGUGGUUGCAAAUUAUGCACUGCUCCUGCUGGUUACAAGCCUUCAUCUCUACAAAAAUAUGCAGUGAGGUUGCUUGGUUCCUGACAGGGAUUGAUGUAGUUUGCUUCCCGUCAGAGAUUGAAGUUCCUAGGAGAUUACUAUCGAGAAACUCAGAUACUGGUGGCAUCCGAUGGGACAAAUUCGGCUGGUCUCUAUCCGAGAGGAGAGAUCCGGGGAAUGUGUGUUGAGGCUCUCAUCAUGUUGGUAUAUUGUGAAUGUUCCAUCAAGUUGUGGAUGGCUCUGAGGCAUGUGACACCAAUGAUAGAUACUCCUGCCGUGUCAUGAAGCAUUAAGUGCUACAAAAAUAUUUCACAGGGGUGUGUUCUUCCUACUAUAAAGCAACAUGGAUUUCUUUAAAUUAAAUUGUGCAUAUUGUGGAAAAUAAAUCUUCUGUGUCCAUAGUCAUGUUCAUCUGUCACCAGUCCAUGGUGAAAUAAACAGGAGAAUACAUGCUUGCAGAAGUUGUCAAGAGGCUCCAUUUAACCAUCAAAGACCAUGAGACCUACCAAUCGAGUGAUAGAGAUGGACACAAUCUCUCCUUGUGGAAGAACAAUGUAUCAAUUGCCAACAAAUCCAAACAUUUCAUCCUAUCUUACCAUGUAGUACUAACUUAACUGCAAUGUAUCGCUUGUGUCAAAAACUAUUUGAAUCGCGUAUUUGGCUAUCUAUGAUAUCAAAUCUUUAUGUUCUUUCAAUAUCAUGUACACUCGAAAGCAAGGCCAUUAUAUGAUAAAAA